Molecule: ribosomal RNA, 453 nt
Filed under: Triticum aestivum (bread wheat)
Lineage: Eukaryota; Viridiplantae; Streptophyta; Magnoliopsida; Poales; Poaceae
Description: partial small subunit ribosomal RNA
Source: RNAcentral
AUGGGUCCGGCACUACCGUCUGUCCAAGCGGCACUACCGCUUAAGCGGUACUACCGCCCGAUGUCCGGUACUACCGCCCUGCCUGUGCGCAGAGUACGGGCCAACGGCCCAUAUAUCCCCCCUCUCACUUACCCCUUCGUGGCUCAUUUGAGAGAUAGAGCUACGCUCAUCCAUAUCGGAUCUACUCCACGAGAGAUAUUGCGUUUGGAUCUUGUAUCUUCCUUUGUGUCCAUGGAUCUAGCGCAUGUAUCAGAGGUCCUGCGCCAGUAUGGAUUUGGCUGCCACUUCCUGGACUGGUUGGCCAUUCUCCUUUCAUCGGCCAGCACCAAGGUACUCCUGAACGGCAAGCCCGACCCGACCAUUUGGCACCGCUAUGGGUUUCGACAGGGUGAUCCCCUCUCGCCCCAACUAUUCGUCCUCGCAGUCGACACGCUUAGUCGUCUCUUCCGCUGA